RNAcentral lists this unclassified non-coding RNA (250 nucleotides) under Dothideomycetes sp. RNAcentral describes it as "partial contains 5.8S ribosomal RNA, internal transcribed spacer 2, and large subunit ribosomal RNA". The record is from RNAcentral. Lineage: Eukaryota; Fungi; Ascomycota; Dothideomycetes.
CGCACAUUGCGCCCUUUGGUAUUCCGAGGGGCAUGCCUGUUCGAGCGUCAUUUAAACCAUCAAGCACUGCUUGGCUUUGGACCCGGGUCUCAAGCAGCACCCAGUCCGAAACUCACCUAGUGGCGUUCCCGUCGAGUCUCAAGCGUAGCAAGAAUUAAUCACUCGCUUCAGAAGCCUCGGGUGGGGACAGCCUUAAAAUUCACCUUUUAAGUUUGACCUCGGAUCAGGUAGGGAUACCCGCUGAACUUAA